CCUACGGGGUGCAGCAGUGAGGAAUAUUGGUCAAUGGGCGAGAGCCUGAACCAGCCAAGUCGCGUGAAGGAUGACGGCCCUACGGGUUGUAAACUUCUUUUGUCAGGGAGCAAUUGGGUCCACGCGUGGGCUUAGCGAUAUUACCUGAAUAAAAAGCAUCGGCUAACUCCGUUCCAGCAGCCGCGGUAAUACGGAGGAUGCGAGCGUUAUCGGGAUUUAUUGGGUUUAAAGGGUGCGUAGGCGGAAUAUCAAGUCAUCGGUAAAAAUUCGGGGCUCAACCCCGUCGUGCCGUUGAAACUGAUGUUAUUGAGUGGGCGAGAAGUAUGCGGAAUGCGUGGUGUAGCGGUGAAAUGCAUAGAUAUCACGCAGAACUCCGAUUGCGAAGGCAGCAUACCGGCGCCCAACUGACGCUGAAGCACGAAAGCGUGGGUAUCGAACAGGAUUAGAUACCCUGGUAGUC
This 460-nucleotide ribosomal RNA is filed under the name uncultured bacterium. RNAcentral's name for it is "partial 16S ribosomal RNA". It matches the Rfam family "Bacterial small subunit ribosomal RNA", at positions 338 to 795 of the family's 1533-position model. The record is from RNAcentral.